CCUACGGGUGGCAGCAGUAGGGAAUUUUCGUCAAUGGGCGCAAGCCUGAACGAGCGAUGCCGCGUGAGUGAAGAAGGCCUUCGGGUCGUAAAGCUCUGUUUCUGGGGAAAAAAGGCAGCAUCAGGAAAUGGGUGCUGACUGAUGUUGCCACGCCAGAAAGUCACGGCUAACUACGUGCCAGCAGCCGCGGUGAUACGUAGGUGGCGAGCGUUAUCCGGAAUGGUUGGGCGUAAAGGGUGCGCAGGCGGUCCUGCAAGUCUGGAGUGAAACGCAUGAGACCAACUCAGGCAUGGCUUUGGAAACUGGAGGACUGGAGAGCAGGAGAGGGCGGUGGAAUGCCAUGUGUAGCGGUAAAAUGCGUAGAUAUAGGGAAGAACACCAGUGGCGAAGGCGGCCGACUGGCCUGUGGCUGACGCUGAGGCACGAAAGCGUGGGGAGCAAAUAGGAUUAGAUACCCCGGUAGUC
Molecule: ribosomal RNA, 465 nt
Filed under: uncultured bacterium
Lineage: Bacteria
Description: partial 16S ribosomal RNA
Rfam family: Bacterial small subunit ribosomal RNA
Source: RNAcentral